ACCUAACAGUGCACGCAUUCCCUCCGGGUUUUAGUGCGAGCUGGCGAGGCUGGAGGACGGCUCGCUGCUGCACCGUGGUGGCUGCGAGAAGCAGCGCGCUAGAGCAGCUGGGGAUGCUCAUGGAUUCCGUGUGCGACAAGUUAGGCAAAAGGAAAGGCUAGGGACAGGGAAUGGUCUGUGACACAGAAAACGACCCUUCAGUCUCAACAGCACACAAACGGUGGCGGAUCAGCUGAAACAAAAGACCGGAGGACUAAAGCCAGAACACUGUGUCUCCAGACUGGCUCGCUUUUCAUCUCUGAGGACACGCCCCUCUGAACCCAUUUAAGAAACUAUCACUACCGGGGCUUUCAGAGGAGGGCAAAAUGGGAAUGGCUUUUGGUAUAACUCUAAGACUCCUUUCCUCAUCUACCUCACAGGGCAAAGAGCGGGGACACGCGGUGGACAGAAAGGAGAGUGGAGAGUGAGCAGGGCGAAUAAAGCUGGGCAGGUAUGAGGAGGGUUCAGAUGGCAGAAAAGGUGCAGGAUGCAGAGCAAUGGUGGGCGGGUGCGAGGGGUGGGGUCGGCAGACCGCGGAGCACGUGCGGGCAGAGAUGCCGCUGGGGAGCUGGGCAGGGGCUGGGCAGGGGCUGAGGCUGGUAGCGGAAAAAGGAACGGGGAGGUGGGCAGGUAGACAGCAGGCCGUGGGAGGUCACCUUUGAUGUAGACAUCGUCGUCGGCGCGCAUGAACCACUCGUACUUGUCCAGAUCAAGGCUGAAUUGGUUUCAAUUGUGUGAAGCAACUGUGGCAUCUAGUGGUUAAUAAUCAUAAUGAUUACCCAGGCCCCUAGACACUGAUUAAGCAAAAAUUCACUAAACUACCACCAGAAUGAGCCACAUACUGUCACACCUGCAGCUCUCCUGAGGCUCUUCAAUGUCAUACAGCACACAGCCACAUGUCUUCUGAAUUAAAGAUACCUAUGACUCCCUGCAGAGUGAUAAGCCUGAGCUAUGGAACUGACAUAGUGUGGCAGAGACAAGCAACUUAGAAUCACCGACUGAGUGCUGACUGCCUGCAAACAAAGGAGCUCUGCUGGGACACAAAUACCAGACUGUGACUUACGUAAAGGAUACAUACUAAGCUGUGACUUACUAGAUGCAGAACUGAGGAGCAAAGAGGUUACCCAGAUGUCUUCACCAUGGAUAUUCUCUCAUGACCUGUCUCAGACCAUUUUUCCUAAGAACUCUGCUAAUGGAAUGGAGGAGUCCAAAGUAGGUUCAAAUGAAGAGAGAUGAAAUCAGAAACAGCGUAAAAGACAAUCCUUCUAGCAUAUUUUCCUAUAAAGAUAAAAAGGAAACACCCUCCUACUUGGAUAUCUUAUUAGGAUGGAAGAAAUAAUAGUGUAAUUAUUUACACAUUGAGUGAGGCCAAAGAGAAAUAAAAAGAUUUGGGUCAUAAAUAGUAAUAGAAGUUUAAGCACAGCAUCUGGGAAAGAUGCAUGUUAACAGGCAGAUGUGGAAAGAACUUGAUGUUUUCUUCUGCUUGAAGAGAAAAUACAAAUUACUCAUGCAGUAUAAUGAAUAAGUAAAUGGACAUGAGGAAUACGUCGUGACUGCCUGGCAACCACGAGGGUCUACUUGAGAUUACUAGUCAUGUUCUAAAAGUGAGAUAUGUAAGCAAGGUUGUGUAAUUUUUCCUUAGCUACUUUUGACUGCCGAGAGUUGGAAUUGACCUGACUGGUGCUAUAACCAACUAAAAGAGUUGAAAGAUAGAAGUUAUUUUGUGGGAAGUGGGUAUCAUUGGUAAUGAAAUUUAAGCUAGGUGCUUAGAUCACAGAUUUGAAAGUCUUAGCAGUAUUAUAGGAUUGAUGUAGAGGAACUACAAGGAGUAAGCUAGAGAGAUACAUCAUCAGAGAGGAACAUUUUCUGAACUGACAUUAUGAAAUAUUGCAGUAAUUUUUUAGUGACCAGAUCAAGGAGCCGCUAAGAAUGUGUGAUGGAACAGUGGGAAAAAUAUCAGAAAUAAGAAAAGUAGACUAUUGUGUGGAUCAUUUGUGUGAGUGUAGACCUUGUCAAGAAGCAUAGCAAGAGAUUUACAGUUGUAAAGCAUCAAAUAUUCAGAGAACCGAAGACAAUAUUCCAGCAGCAAUCAAUGAAAACAAUAAAAUAGCCCAGACAUUGCACAGCCUGAGAGCGUAAGAUGGAAAACUGGAAAAUGAAUGUUCUAUCAAACAGCAGUAAGGUCUGCAGAGGACUCUGAUUCAUAUCUGUAUGCCACUGUCCAGUACUGGUCAUGAAAGCAGCUGAGGGAAAUAGAGAGAGAAGUGUCCUCAACUGAAGCUAAUAUAACAUAGAGCAAAAGCUAAGUAAGUGCUUGGAGAAAUAGAGGGCAAAAUGGUAGAUACUUUUGCAAAAAUAUUUUAAUUCCAAGAAGGUAUACCUAACAACCUCCAAAAGCCAUGGGACAUAAAAGAUGAUCAGAAAAAGCACCACACAGAGGCCUUUGGAGGUUGGAAUGCACAUGAGUGAGACAUGAUGGGAGUUGACCCAGCCUCUCCUUGUGGGAGUUUCUAUGCCUGAGGAUGUGGAUGUGGUGAGAUCAGACCCAGGGCUCCAAGCAGGCAGAAGAAAAAGCUGAAUGUUUGGAAGGAUGGCAGGAGACUCUCCAGCCCCAAGCAGGGUUUUUAAAGACCUCAACUUGACUUCUGCUGCUGGAAGUGUAAAAUCUCACUGUGUCACAAUUUUCCUGGAGGCUUAAGGCAUGCUCUGUGUACAGAAGGUGAUCUUUUCUUUCUUUUUUUUAAAAUCGGUACUGAGGAUGGAACGCACGACUGCCUGCUUGCAAGGCAGGUGCUUAUGCUGCUGAGCUAAAUCCCCAGCCACCAGAAGGGUGAUCUUACUUUGUCCUCACAAGCUAUCCUUAACUCUUACUGACAGUGGUAGUAGGAUACAUUUAAUAAUAUGAAUGUCCUCCUUUAAAAUGCAUAUGUAGGCUGAUGCUGUGUCUCAUGACUGUAAUCCCAACAGGAGGCAGGAGAAUCCUGGUGAGUCUGCUAGCUUUGGCUGUGCAGUGAGGUCAAGGUCAGCCUGAACUACACAGACAGACUUUAUCUCGCAGAACUAAAUAGAAAAAGAAAAUUUGUAUAUAUGAGCAUGUGGCAAAAUAGCUCAUCUCUUUGGUAGCAGUUCGUCAAAUAUUAAACUACAAGAGUAAAAGUGGCAAGAAUAC
Long non-coding RNA from Cavia porcellus (domestic guinea pig), 3208 nucleotides. RefSeq lists it as uncharacterized. The transcript has 7 exons. Lineage: Eukaryota; Metazoa; Chordata; Mammalia; Rodentia; Caviidae. The record is from RefSeq and is a predicted model, not a curated record.